Molecule: ribosomal RNA, 693 nt
Filed under: uncultured bacterium
Lineage: Bacteria
Description: bacterial SSU rRNA
Rfam family: Bacterial small subunit ribosomal RNA
Source: RNAcentral
GGGACAACAGUUGGAAACGACUGCUAAUACCGCAUAAGCGCACAGCUUCGCAUGAAGCAGUGUGAAAAACUCCGGUGGUACAAGAUGGACCCGCGUCUGAUUAGCUGGUUGGUGAGGUAACGGCCCACCAAGGCAACGAUCAGUAGCCGGCCUGAGAGGGUGAACGGCCACAUUGGGACUGAGACACGGCCCAAACUCCUACGGGAGGCAGCAGUGGGGAAUAUUGCACAAUGGGGGAAACCCUGAUGCAGCAACGCCGCGUGAGUGAAGAAGUAUUUCGGUAUGUAAAGCUCUAUCAGCAGGAAAGAAAAUGACGGUACCUGACUAAGAAGCCCCGGCUAACUACGUGCCAGCAGCCGCGGUAAUACGUAGGGGGCAAGCGUUAUCCGGAUUUACUGGGUGUAAAGGGAGCGUAGACGGUUUUGCAAGUCUGAAGUGAAAGCCCGGGGCUUAACCCCGGGACUGCUUUGGAAACUGUAGAACUAGAGUGCAGGAGAGGUAAGUGGAAUUCCUAGUGUAGCGGUGAAAUGCGUAGAUAUUAGGAGGAACACCAGUGGCGAAGGCGGCUUACUGGACUGUAACUGACGUUGAGGCUCGAAAGCGUGGGGAGCAAACAGGAUUAGAUACCCUGGUAGUCCACGCCGUAAACGAUGAUUACUAGGUGUUGGUGGGUAUGACCCAUCGGUGCCGCAG